AGGCCAGACUCCUACGGGAGGCAGCAGUGGGGAAUAUUGCACAAUGGGGGAAACCCUGAUGCAGCGACGCCGCGUGAGCGAUGAAGUAUUUCGGUAUGUAAAGCUCUAUCAGCAGGGAAGAAAAUGACGGUACCUGACUAAGAAGCCCCGGCUAACUACGUGCCAGCAGCCGCGGUAAUACGUAGGGGGCAAGCGUUAUCCGGAUUUACUGGGUGUAAAGGGAGCGUAGACGGCUGUGCAAGCCAGAUGUGAAAGGCCGGGGCCCAACCCCGGGACUGCAUUGGAAACUGCGAGGCUGGAGUGUCGGAGAGGCAGGCGGAAUUCCUAGUGUAGCGGUGAAAUGCGUAGAUAUUAGGAGGAACACCAGUGGCGAAGGCGGCCUACUGGACGGUGACUGACGCUGAGGCUCGAAAGCGUGGGGAGCAAACAGGAUUAGAUACCCGGGUAA
This 448-nucleotide ribosomal RNA is filed under the name uncultured bacterium. RNAcentral describes it as "partial 16S ribosomal RNA". It matches the Rfam family "Bacterial small subunit ribosomal RNA", at positions 328 to 793 of the family's 1533-position model. The record is from RNAcentral.